RNAcentral lists this ribosomal RNA (406 nucleotides) under uncultured bacterium. RNAcentral describes it as "partial 16S ribosomal RNA". It matches the Rfam family "Bacterial small subunit ribosomal RNA", at positions 30 to 526 of the family's 1533-position model. The record is from RNAcentral.
AUUGAACGCUGGCGGCAGGCCUAACACAUGCAAGUCGAACGAGUGGCGGACGGGUGAGUAAUGUCUGUGAAACUGCCCGAUGGAGGGGGAUAACUACUGGAAACGGUAGCUAAUACCGCAUACCAUUGGAUGUGCCCAGAGGGGAUUAGCUAGUAGGUGGGGUAACGGCGCACCUAGGCGACGAUCCCUAGCUGGUCUGAGAGGAUGACAAGCCACACGGGCACUGAGACACUGUCCAGACGCCUACGGUAGGCAGCAGUGGGGAAGAUUGCACAAUGGGCGCAAGCCUGAUGCAUCCAUGCCGCGUGUAUGAAGAAGGCCUUAGGGUUGUAAAGUACUUUCAGCGAGGAGGCGUUACUCGCAGAAGAAGCACCGGCUAACUCCGUGCCAGCCGCCGCGGUAAUUC